CGGGGAGUAGCUCAGUGGUUGGGCUCCCGCUUCGUAUGCGUGAGGACCCGGGUUCGAUUCCCGGCUGCUCAC
This 72-nucleotide transfer RNA is filed under the name Toxocara canis (dog roundworm). It matches the Rfam family "tRNA". From Rfam's summary of the family: Transfer RNA (tRNA) molecules are approximately 80 nucleotides in length. Their secondary structure includes four short double-helical elements and three loops (D, anti-codon, and T loops). Lineage: Eukaryota; Metazoa; Nematoda; Chromadorea; Rhabditida; Toxocaridae. The record is from Rfam by way of RNAcentral.